Molecule: ribosomal RNA, 429 nt
Filed under: Bacteroidota bacterium
Lineage: Bacteria; Pseudomonadati; Bacteroidota
Description: Bacteroidetes bacterium partial 16S ribosomal RNA
Rfam family: Bacterial small subunit ribosomal RNA
Source: RNAcentral
UAGGGAAUCUUCGGCAAUGGGGGGAACCCUGACCGAGCAACGCCGCGUGAGUGAAGAAGGUUUUCGGAUCGUAAAGCUCUGUUGUUAAGGAAGAACGAGUGUGAGAAUGGAAAGUUCAUACUGUGACGGUACUUAACCAGAAAGGGACGGCUAACUACGUGCCAGCAGCCGCGGUAAUACGUAGGUCCCGAGCGUUGUCCGGAUUUAUUGGGCGUAAAGCGAGCGCAGGCAGUUAGAAAAGUCUGAAGUGAAAGGCAGUGGCUCAACCAUUGUAGGCUUUGGAAACUGUUUAACUUGAGUGCAGAAGGGGAGAGUGGAAUUCCAUGUGUAGCGGUGAAAUGCGUAGAUAUAUGGAGGAACACCGGUGGCGAAAGCGGCUCUCUGGUCUGUAACUGACGCUGAGGCUCGAAAGCGUGGGGAGCGAACAGG